GAGCGUUACUGACGCUUAAGCUCGAAAGCGCGGGUAUCGAACAGGAUUAGAUACCCUGGUAGUCCGCGCGGUAAACGAUGGAUGCCCGCUGUUUGCGUCUAACGUAAGCGGCCAAGUGAAAACGUUAAGCAUCCCACCUGGGGAGUACGCCGGCAACGGUGAAACUCAAAGGAAUUGACGGGGGCCCGCACAAGCGGAGGAACAUGUGGUUUAAUUCGAUGAUACGCGAGGAACCUUACCCGGGCUUGAAUUGCUGAGGAAAGAUCCAGAGAUGGUGAUGCCCUUCGGGGCCUCAGUGAAGGUGCUGCAUGGUUGUCGUCAGCUCGUGCCGUGAGGUGUCGGCUUAAGUGCCAUAACGAGCGCAACCCCUCUCUUCAGUUGCCAUCAGGCUAUGCUGGGCACUCUGGAGACACUGCCACCGCAAGGUGUGAGGAAGGUGGGGAUGACGUCAAAUCAGCACGGCCCUUACGUCCGGGGCUACACACGUGUUACAAUGGGGGGCACAGAGAGCGGGGUGCGCGCAAGCUUGCCCAAAUCCUUAAAUCCCCCCACAGUUCGGACUGGGGUCUGCAACCCGACCCCACGAAGCUGGAUCGCUAG
This 600-nucleotide ribosomal RNA is filed under the name uncultured bacterium. RNAcentral describes it as "bacterial SSU rRNA". It matches the Rfam family "Bacterial small subunit ribosomal RNA", at positions 732 to 1338 of the family's 1533-position model. The record is from RNAcentral.